UACGAAGGGGGCUAGCGUUGUUCGGAAUCACUGGGCGUAAAGCGCACGUAGGCGGAUUGUUAAGUCAGGGGUGAAAUCCUGGAGCUCAACUCCAGAACUGCCCUUGAUACUGUCGGUCUCGAGUCCGGGAGAGGUGAGUGGAACUGCGAGUGUAGAGGUGAAAUUCGUAGAUAUUCGCAAGAACACCAGUGGCGAAGGCGGCUCACUGGCCCGGUACUGACGCUGAGGUGCGAAAGCGUGGGGAGCAAACAGG
RNAcentral lists this ribosomal RNA (253 nucleotides) under uncultured bacterium. RNAcentral's name for it is "partial 16S ribosomal RNA". It matches the Rfam family "Bacterial small subunit ribosomal RNA", at positions 524 to 776 of the family's 1533-position model. The record is from RNAcentral.